This 398-nucleotide long non-coding RNA is filed under the name Panax ginseng (ginseng). RNAcentral's name for it is "long non-coding RNA (PGIN_LNC015934)". The record is from RNAcentral. Lineage: Eukaryota; Viridiplantae; Streptophyta; Magnoliopsida; Apiales; Araliaceae.
AAGCUCCCUAGACAUGCACACUGGUAUGCGUUGUAGAAUAAUGCUGCAACGCUGCUUUUAUUAAAAUUUGUACUCCCACUAUCCGGAAGAAUGAGUACCAUUUUCAAUGAAAAUUACAUAGAAAACAAACAUAUUUUUGGGACAGAGGGAAUAUAAAUCUAAUUCUUAUAUUGUAUGCUCAAUGUUGAUCUUCGUACUUUUUCUUAAUAUUGUUGCCAGGACAUGGACGGUUAGAUGUAAUCCUGAGUAUGAAGGGCUAAUUGCGGUCUCUCUCUCUCUCUCAGUAAUCUGUUUCUUUAACUACAUAACUGUAGACACUACAUAAAAUUUUGGAAGUAUGGUCUUUAAUUUAUCUUGGCUUACAUGAUCUAUAGAUCUGAGUCACGGUUCCUUGCUCC